Hemicordylus capensis (graceful crag lizard) is the source of this 2186-nucleotide long non-coding RNA. RefSeq lists it as uncharacterized. The transcript is spliced from 5 exons. Lineage: Eukaryota; Metazoa; Chordata; Lepidosauria; Squamata; Cordylidae. The record is from RefSeq and is a predicted model, not a curated record.
UUCCUUCUACCUCAUUUUUUGUUGAAAUUAAAAAAACCAAAAAGAUAAGUCAUUUUAAUAAUACUAUUGGAAAUAUUUUAUAAAGGUUUAUACUGAAUAUGGUUCAUACACUUUAUAUCUAAUUUUGUAGUUAGGACAAGAUAUUAUUUACAGGAGUCAUGCCCUAAAAGUUAUUGUUUAUAUUGUGGUCAAAACAGCACUGUAUAAAAACGCUGACUUGGACCUUCUAAAAACUUUCAGAAAAUUUGAUGCAGUCUGCAUCUUCUGAUAUAAAAGAUAUACCGAUGUUGCACUAUAUUCAACAUGCCUUACUUCCUACAAAUUGACCACCUAAUGAUGCAGCGAGGAAAUGACUUGACUAGCAAGCCAGAGAUUGCCGGUUCAAAUCCCCACAGAUAUGUUUCCCAGACUAUGAGAAACACCUAUAUGGGGCAGCAGCGAUAUAGCAAGUUGCUGAAAGGCAUAAUCGCAUACUGCGCGGGAGAUGGCAAUGGUAAACCCCUCCUGUAUUCUACCAAAGACAACCACAGGGCUCUGUGGUCACCAGGAGUCGACACUGACUCGAUGGCACACUUUACCUUUACUCCCUACAAAGUAAGCUUAUAAUUACAGUCCUAACCAAUAAACUCUGGAAUUCAAUGUGAUUUAAAGUCACAAUCCUAUUUGCCUGAAUUUAACAGUCAUUUAUUAGAACACUGAAAAUUGGGGGUGGGAUUCCUGAUCAGAAAAUGAAGCUCUGAAUCACAUAGAUUAGGCUGGGCACUUUGGCAAUUUGCUGAACUAGGAAGGCAAGCUCUAGAUAAGUCUCUUUGGAAAGUGUUAUUAGAAGACCUGUCUUACCAGUCCUUGGAUCUAGAAUUUCAACAGUCACUUCCCUCUUGUGUCCCAGUACAGCAUUUUUAGGUUUGUUCAGUAUUAUUUUAAACACUUCAUUGUUUUCUUCAAGACCAUCAUCCUGAAGGAGGACAUUCCAGAUCUUUACAGAUACACCUGUCAAAAGCACAAGAUAUAAAUCCUGGCCCUCCCUUUUGGCUCCAAAUGUUGAGGAAACAUGUGAAAGAGAGCAGCAUCCCAUCUACUGGCUUCUCUCCUGACGUCUAAAUAUUCAGUAAAGAAGAAGAGCAUGAGAUGGAGGUGAGCAGCAGUGCACUUCUGCAUGCAAGCCAGCAACAGAUCACAUCAGCUCCCCAGAGAAUGGCCUUGAACGCCAAGGUCUGUGAAUAUCACUGAGUGAUUUCCUCCCAAUGCUACCUUAGUGGCAAAUGGAAAGGAACUGUAUUGAGUGGAGGGCGUGGAGGGCUCAUGUGGAGCUUUGAAAAUCUUCCCAAGUGGUCUGCUGUGCAAGCACAUUAACCAUCAGUGUUUGCUGCCAAGACCUCCAGUUUGGCCGCUGAACAGUUACGUCCAAACCCGGAUGCUGCCAUAUGAUUUUGAAACCGCAAUCAAAGAGGUUGCAGCGCAGACCCACCCAGGGACUUGUACCAGGGAUACAGCCUGCAGGAGUGGAUGGUCACCCCCUAUCACAACCCAGAGAUGCCCUAGAGAGGAACUUGAACUACAGGCACAGCAGCAUGAGGAUCAUCGUGGAGCAGUCAUUCAGGAGGCUAAAGGCCUAGUUGCACACGAUCUACAUUUUGCUGGAUGUGGAGGAGGAUCUUGUGCCCAAGGCAAUUGUGGCCCGCUACAUCCUGCACAACAUUUGCAAGACCAGGGGAGACAUCUUGCUGGAGGAGCCUCUGGACCCAGCCACACAUCCAGAGGGUGAGGAGGUGAGCAGGUGCAUGGGAUUGGAAGGGCAUGCUGCCCUUUAAACUGCUGGUGGUAACAUGGGGUCAUCACCAGUACCUGCAGCAGCAGCAGGAUCAAAAGUUGCAAACACCUGUCCCUACCUUGCUAAUUUAAGGGCUGACAGUGUAUUAAAGCCUAAUAGAGUUAUAGCAUCCAUUAUGAAAUCAUUGUGUUUAUUUCCAAAUGCAAGUGUGGAGCUACCCCAUCACACCUGGCCAGUGGCAGGGAGGGCAAUGAGCUGUUUGGGGGGUUGGAUGAGUAAGGUCAGGACAUGGGAUCCCCCUUGCAAAUGGCAGGCAGGGUGGUGAGCAGUUUGAGGGGUUGGAUGGGGGCAGGGAACGACAUGAGAUCAACAUGCCCACUUUGGAAUCGCAACCAAUGGUGGCCGCCUGGAUGCC